This 87-nucleotide transfer RNA is filed under the name Calditrichota bacterium. RNAcentral describes it as "Calditrichaeota bacterium (hydrothermal vent metagenome) tRNA-Leu". It matches the Rfam family "tRNA". Rfam says of the family: Transfer RNA (tRNA) molecules are approximately 80 nucleotides in length. Their secondary structure includes four short double-helical elements and three loops (D, anti-codon, and T loops). The record is from RNAcentral. Lineage: Bacteria; Pseudomonadati; Calditrichota.
GCUGGCGUGGUGGAAUUGGCAGACACGCUAUCUUGAGGGGGUAGUGGGCAUACGCCCGUGCGGGUUCGAGUCCCGCCGCCAGCACCA